Non-coding RNA from Paramuricea clavata, 552 nucleotides. NCBI's taxonomy places the organism in Eukaryota, Metazoa, Cnidaria, Anthozoa, Malacalcyonacea, Plexauridae. The record is from the annotation of a GenBank genome assembly.
AAAAUUGAAAAAUUCAGUCCAAAAAUAGCCGUUGGUAGCGCAGCUUUUAAAAAAAAUUUUUUCGUCUUUCGAACGGCGUUUUCCUAUUACUUUCCUUAUUAAAUUUCAGAACGACACUUGCCAGCGCUCGCCGGAAGUGCGAAUUCCGUGUGACACAAAAGAAUCAGCAAUUUGACGGGAGAUUUAUAUCUGUAUUUACUUCAUGUGUGGUUAAAUCUUCCGUAUGAUGACGUUGGACUUAUGUUUGAUUAUACGCGUGAUGGCACAGCGCGCGUUCAAACUUUCCCGCGAGGAAUCGCUUCCGGUGGCGGCACUUCUUGUUCAAUAGUUUUGGAAAGUUUGAACGCGCGCGUGCUGUGCCAUCACGCGUAUAAUCCAAAUAUAAGUCCAACGUCAUCAUACGGAAGAUUCAACCACAGAGUAAAUACAUAUACAGAGUUGUAACUAGUGUACCCACUUUUUUUGUGCGCAUGCUCGGCAAGUUACUAGAUGCAUGCAUGUGAUUGGAUGACGACUCGCUUCAGCUGCUCGUGGAACUUGCCGAGCACGCGC